RNAcentral lists this ribosomal RNA (238 nucleotides) under uncultured bacterium. Its description in RNAcentral is "partial 16S ribosomal RNA". It matches the Rfam family "Bacterial small subunit ribosomal RNA", at positions 96 to 334 of the family's 1533-position model. The record is from RNAcentral.
UGGCGAACGGGUGAUUAACGCGUGGGUAACCUGCCUCAUACAGGGGGAUAACAGUUGGAAACGGCUGCUAAUACCGCAUAAGCGCACAGUACCGCAUGGUACCGUGUGAAAAACUCCGGUGGUAUGAGAUGGACCCGCGUCUGAUUAGCUAGUUGGUGGGGUAACGGCCUACCAAGGCGACGAUCAGUAGCCGACCUGAGAGGGUGACCGGCCACAUUGGGACUGAGACACGGCCCAA